GUGGCCUGAACGCAUCUCAUCACCGUCCAAUGAUUAAAUUCCUCUCCAGUCAGCGUGAAAUGGAAGGCCACCACCAGCACGCUGCACGAAGAAGCUGCCAGCAGAUUGUUCAGACCCAGGAAUACCAACAGCUGGCCAGCAAAUACGGUUCCCGAGGUACCAGUGGCGAGGCUCGCGUCAUCUAUAGAGCUGAGCCUGAGAAUUCUUCUCCCAAGGAUCAUGCACCCUAUCAUUCCCGACAGUCCACCCACAAGCACGUGUUUCUUCAUCCAUCCGUGAGGGGUCCAAGCCCAAUGUACGAGGAAAGGCUGCGUCAAUCCGGCCAAUAGGAGGCCCGUGGCAAGAUAGCCGAUCGUGUGCGUUCUUCCCACGAUGCCGCAAGUGCAAAUGGCUGCCGCGACGACAGCCGCCGCCCAACCAAUCAAGGCCUCGUCUUUGUCGGCCGUUGGGUCGCCAAUCCACAAUCCGUCGCCCACGAUUCCGUUCGAGCCGCCGUUGUAGGCAAUCAGGAUCAGAUUGAUGUUGUUCACUGGCACGCUGCCAACGUGGAUCAGAACGUAGCCGAUUCGCAACAGAAUCACGAGAAUCACGCGAGUGAAGCCUGGUGUUGGUUCAGGUAUAAUCCCGGACGCAUUGUAAUGAUGUGCCGCCAGCGAAGUGUCGUCGUUGUACAAAAAGUGCGCCCUAAGAUGACUCAAACGUCGAAUACAAUCGCGCUCUGGACCCCGCCGGCUCUGAUUGGCCGGCGCAGCGGAAGCCAAUGGUGGCCGGAGACGCCGUUGUCCGCGCAUGCCUCCACGAGUCGAUGCAAGGUCUGGGUCUCGCCUCUGCAGGGACAAGCCGGCAAGCGAUGCCGUCCGUCGACGACGUUGGUAGUCGCUCGCAGACGGCCACUGGACCUCCGGGUGUUAGGUGGCAGUGGCUCGCGAGAAAGAGAGAAAGAAGCGAGCGAAAGGAAUAGAGAGAGAGAGAGAGAGAAGGAGCAAAAAAGAAAGUUGAAAUAAUCUACCUUCAGUGUUUGUUCGUCCUGGCUCCCCGUUCCCGACGGCGGAGAUAGAAGCUGCAAGAGGAUGGCCGCGGUGUCCUGUCGCGCACUAUGCAUCGUACGAUGGUCCGAGGUCUCCCGCAUGCUGAGCGUGUCCUCCACCCUGGCCACGACAAAAAGCUUCCACCGGAAUUGCAUAGGAUCAAUGUCUCAACGGACAGCGUUGCAUAGGAAACAUGGAAAUUAGAUAAACGUGUUUGAUAUCGGGAUUAAUUGGAAGGAUGGCCCAGAUGACAAAUACAUAGAUAGCGACGUCAGAAGACUCACACGUGUAUACAGUGCGAGUCCUUCACCUGUGCUUGUGUCGAGCUCGAACAGCUGAGUUUGGCUCUGCGUACAAAAACGUCGCGCUGGAAUUUAUGUACACAAACCAAGUUAUUCGGCAGUCGUAUUUACCAUAGGAACAGUUUGAUACCAAGGGAGACAUUAGCCGAGAGGAACGAAGCACGGAUUCAAGAUACAAGAAAGUUUUUCCACGUGGGGUUAAAACUGGAUCGAGGAACGUGGUAGUCGAAUUUUCUGACACUGGAAUUUUCUGAACUGUGGAACUCGUAGUUUCCAAAGUUUUGGAGUUAUCUGCCGAGAGCAGCAAUUCUUUUCUCAAUAUUUUUGCAGGUUUCAUCGUUCUUCCAGUUCGCGAUAAAAUGAUGACACACUUUAAAAUUGAGUGAUUUAUAUUUCUUUGACAUCCAUCAAAAUUUCGUUUUUCUGUUAAUAUACAGAAGCUCCCGUAUUACAUGCAGAAACACCUUUAUAACAUGCACGAAUGAAAUGAAUUUUUAAUUCAGUGUGCGCUUUCAUUUGGUCGCACUUUAUUUCCAUAAAAAUUCUCUUGUAAAAAAUAAAACAAAUAAAACUGUUGGGUCUUGUGAUAUUCACUCGUAGAUACUGUGUUAAUAAUAGACAAUAAUAGAACAAUAAUAAUAGAACAAUAAUAGAACAAA
Non-coding RNA from Megalopta genalis, 1989 nucleotides. NCBI's taxonomy places the organism in Eukaryota, Metazoa, Arthropoda, Insecta, Hymenoptera, Halictidae. The record is from RefSeq and is a predicted model, not a curated record.